CAUGAAUGACCUUCUGCUAAAAUCGCGCAUAUCCUGUGCGCAACACAGAAGUCAGCACAUCCCGCGCA
RNAcentral lists this small RNA (68 nucleotides) under Peribacillus loiseleuriae. Its description in RNAcentral is "Bacillus sp. FJAT-27997 Bacillaceae-1 RNA". It matches the Rfam family "Bacillaceae-1 RNA". The record is from Rfam by way of RNAcentral. Lineage: Bacteria; Bacillati; Bacillota; Bacilli; Caryophanales; Bacillaceae.